RNAcentral lists this non-coding RNA (24 nucleotides) under Arabidopsis thaliana (thale cress). Lineage: Eukaryota; Viridiplantae; Streptophyta; Magnoliopsida; Brassicales; Brassicaceae. The record is from RNAcentral.
UCGGAUUUCGAAAGCCGAGAGCCG